GAUGAACGCUAGCGGCAGGCUUAAUACAUGCAAGUCGUGGGGCAGCAUGAGUAGCAAUACUUGAUGGCGACCGGCAAACGGGUGAGGAACACGUACACAACCUUCCUUCAAGCGGGGAAUAGCCCAGAGAAAUUUGGAUUAAUACCCCAUAAUAUAUUUGAUAAGGCAUCUUAUUAAUAUUAAAGCUUCGGCACUUGAUGAUGGGUGUGCGGCUGAUUAGAUAGUUGGCGGGUAACGGCCCACCAAGUCUACGAUCAGUAGCUGAUGUGAGAGCAUGAUCAGCCACACGGGCACUGAGACACGGGCCCGACUCCUACGGGAGGCAGCAGUAAGGAAUAUUGGACAAUGGACGAAAGUCUGAUCCAGCCAUGCCGCGUGAAGGAUUAAGGUCCUCUGGAUUGUAAACUUCUUUUAUAUGGGACGAAAAAGGGCAUUCUUGUUCACUUGACGGUACCAUAUGAAUAAGCACCGGCUAACUCCGUGCCAGCA
This 489-nucleotide ribosomal RNA is filed under the name uncultured bacterium. Its description in RNAcentral is "bacterial SSU rRNA". It matches the Rfam family "Bacterial small subunit ribosomal RNA", at positions 28 to 513 of the family's 1533-position model. The record is from RNAcentral.